UACAGAGGUCUCAAGCGUUGUUCGGAUUCAUUGGGCGUAAAGGGUGUGUAGGUGGCGCCGUAAGUCGGGUGUGAAAUCUUGGAGCUUAACUCCGAAACUGCAUUCGAUACUGCCGUGCUUGAGGACUGGAGAGGAGACUGGAAUUUACGGUGUAGCGGUGAAAUGCGUAGAUAUCGUAAGGAAGACCAGUGGCGAAGGCGGGUCUCUGGACAGUUCCUGACGCUGAAGCACGAAGGCCAGGGGAGCAAACGGG
This 253-nucleotide ribosomal RNA is filed under the name uncultured bacterium. RNAcentral's name for it is "partial 16S ribosomal RNA". It matches the Rfam family "Bacterial small subunit ribosomal RNA", at positions 524 to 776 of the family's 1533-position model. The record is from RNAcentral.